AUACAGAGGGUGCGAGCGUUACUCGGAAUUACUGGGCGUAAAGCGCGCGUAGGCGGCUUUUCAAGUCGAUUGUGAAAUCCCCGGGCUUAACCUGGGAACUGCAGUCGAGACUGUCUAGCUAGAGUAUGGGAGAGGGAAGUGGAAUUUCAGGUGUAGCGGUGAAAUGCGUAGAUAUCUGAAGGAACAUCAGUGGCGAAAGCGACUUCCUGGACCAAUACUGACGCUCAUGUGCGAAAGCGUGGGGAGCAAACAGGA
This 255-nucleotide ribosomal RNA is filed under the name uncultured prokaryote. Its description in RNAcentral is "partial 16S ribosomal RNA". It matches the Rfam family "Bacterial small subunit ribosomal RNA", at positions 523 to 777 of the family's 1533-position model. The record is from RNAcentral.